This 875-nucleotide ribosomal RNA is filed under the name uncultured organism. RNAcentral's name for it is "bacterial SSU rRNA". It matches the Rfam family "Bacterial small subunit ribosomal RNA", at positions 555 to 1433 of the family's 1533-position model. The record is from RNAcentral.
UGGGUUUAAAGGGUGCGUAGCCUGAUAGAUAAGUCAGUGGUGAAAUCUUGCGGCUUAACCGUAAAACUGCCAUUGAUACUGUUUAUCUAGAGUACAUAUGAGGUAGGCGGAAUAUAGUAUGUAGCGGUGAAAUGCAUAGAUAUACUAUAGAACACCGAUUGCGAAGGCAGCUUACUAAAUUGUUACUGACGCUGAGGCACGAAAGCGUGGGGAGCGAACAGGAUUAGAUACCCUGGUAGUCCACGCAGUAAACGAUGAUUACUCGAUGUUGGCGAUACACUGUCAGCGUCUGCGCGAAAGCAUUAAGUAAUCCACCUGGGGAGUACGAUCGCAAGGUUGAAACUCAAAGGAAUUGACGGGGGCCCGCACAAGCGGAGGAGCAUGUGGUUUAAUUCGAUGAUACGCGAGGAACCUUACCUGGGCUUAAAUGUAGUGUGCAUUAGCGAUGAAAAUCCUAUUUCCUUCGGGACCCACUACAAGGUGCUGCAUGGUUGUCGUCAGCUCGUGCCGUGAGGUGUCGGGUUAAGUCCCAUAACGAGCGCAACCCCUACUCUUAGUUGCCAUCAGGUAAUGCUGGGGACUCUAAGAAAACUGCCGGCGCAAGCCGUGAGGAAGGUGGGGAUGACGUCAAAUCAGCACGGCCCUUAUGUCCAGGGCUACACACGUGCUACAAUGGUCGGCACAAAGGGCAGCUACACAGCGAUGUGACGCUAAUCUCCAAAGCCGAUCCUAGUUCGGAUCGAAGUCUGCAAUUCGACUUCGUGAAGUUGGAUUCGCUAGUAAUCGUAUAUCAGCAAUGAUACGGUGAAUAUGUUCCCGGGCCUUGUACACACCGCCCGUCAAGCCAUGGAAGCUGAGGUACCUGAAGUUUGUGA